GAUGAACGCUAGCUACAGGCUUAACACAUGCAAGUCGAGGGGAAACGGCAUUAAGUGCUUGCACUUUUUGGACGUCGACCGGCGCACGGGUGAGUAACGCGUAUCCAACCUGCCCCUUACCAGGGAAUAACCCGUUGAAAGACGGACUAAUGCCCUAUGCAGUCCUUUGACGGCAUCAGAUUAGGACUAAAGAUUCAUCGGUAUGGGAUGGGGAUGCGUCUGAUUAGCUUGUUGGCGGGGUAACGGCCCACCAAGGCAUCGAUCAGUAGGGGUUCUGAGAGGAAGGUCCCCCACAUAGGAACUGAGACACGGCCCUACCUCCUACGGGAGGAAGCAGUGAGGAAGAUUGGUCAAUGGGCGGUAGCCUGAACCAGCCAAGUAGCGUGCAGGAUGACGGCCCUAUGGGUUGUAAACUGCUUUUAUGCGGGGAUAAAGUCACCCACGUGUGGGUGUUUGCAGGUACCGCAUGAAUAAGGACCGGCUAAUUCCGUG
This 492-nucleotide ribosomal RNA is filed under the name uncultured bacterium. RNAcentral describes it as "partial 16S ribosomal RNA". It matches the Rfam family "Bacterial small subunit ribosomal RNA", at positions 28 to 507 of the family's 1533-position model. The record is from RNAcentral.